This 215-nucleotide unclassified non-coding RNA is filed under the name Glomus sp. RNAcentral describes it as "partial contains 5.8S ribosomal RNA and internal transcribed spacer 2". The stretch from base 1 to 65 matches the Rfam family "5.8S ribosomal RNA", at positions 84 to 154 of the family's 154-position model. Lineage: Eukaryota; Fungi; Glomeromycota; Glomeromycetes; Glomerales; Glomeraceae. The record is from RNAcentral.
GUGAAUCAUCAAAUUUUUGAACGCAAAUUACACUCUCUUCGGAGAGUAUGCGUGUUUGAGGGUCAGCCUAUAAAAAAUCGAUAUCGUUGCUGUUUUGCGGUGGCGUUCGUCGGAAAUUGGGUCAUCUUAUAUCCUUUUGUUCUAAGAGAUUUAAAAUUCACUUUUGGUUACAUGCAUGUUACUUUGAUCUAUCUCUUUACACGUUUAAGGACUAG